Molecule: ribosomal RNA, 182 nt
Filed under: Paenibacillus lautus
Lineage: Bacteria; Bacillati; Bacillota; Bacilli; Caryophanales; Paenibacillaceae
Description: partial 16S ribosomal RNA
Rfam family: Bacterial small subunit ribosomal RNA
Source: RNAcentral
AUGCCGCGGUGAAUACGUUCCCGGGUCUUGUACACACCGCCCGUCACACCACGAGAGUUUACAACACCCGAAGUCGGUGGGGUAACCCGCAAGGAGCCAGCCGCCGAAGUGGGGUAGAUGAUUGGGGUGAAGUCGUAACAAGGUAGCCGUAUCGGAAGGUGCGGCUGGAUCACCUCCUUUCU